UAAGAUUUGUCUUGGUCACAGUGUCUCUUCACAGCAAUGAGAACCCUAAGACAGCCUAUAUUUCAUUUCACACUAUCCACCGCUGUUUGAGUCUAGCGACUAGGUUUUUUAUGACUGGUCAGUUGAUACUCAUGUGGUUAAAGCACCUUACCCACUGAAUGAGAUUUCUUAUUCUUCCUUAGUCCUUAUGAAAGGGACGAGGCAAAGAGAUCCUAAGUGAAGGUGCUUGCUGCAAAGCCUAGAAGCUUGAGUUGGAGCCUUGAGACCCACAUGGAGAAGAGGGCCAAUUUUCUCAAUUUGUCCUCUGAGUUCCAUGUUCAUGCUGGGGCACCAUGCUAGUGGCUGAGAUGUACCAUUGGACAGGACACUCUGCAUGCUCACAUUGCCCACAGCUUCCUUCAAAGCAAGCUGCCAGCUCCUUAUGCAAAGGCCAUCUGAGUCUGCUUUCUUAUAGAACCCAGGACAGCCAGCCCAGGAAUGGAACCACCCACUGUGAGCUGGGCCUUCUUCCAUCGAUCACUAAUUGAAAAAAUGCCUUACAGCUGGAUCUCAUGGAGCCAUUUCCUCAAGGGAGGCUCCUUUCUCCCUGAGGACUCUAACUUGUGUUAAGUUGACACACACAACCAGCCAGUACAGGCGGGAAAAGAGAAGCAGGACAAAGUGGAUCAGCUUGGCAGGUAAAAGAUGCUUGCUGUGCCAGCCAGACAACCCGAGUUGGAUCCUCAGAUCCUACAUAAAAAUGCUAGACAUACAUCUGCAACCUGAGCACCCCUACUGUGGCCUGAAAGCUUGCAGGAUUGUGGGACAGCGGGCUUGGAGUGUGUGGCACAUCAGAAACAAGGGAGAUCCUGCAUUAAAGAGUGGUAGAAGAACCGACUCCUGGAAGUUGUCCUCUGACCACACACACACAUUCAGGGGCACCUGUCUCCACACUCAGACAUCAUGCUCAUACACAUGAGCAUGAUAUACAGUA
Molecule: long non-coding RNA, 973 nt
Organism: Mus musculus (house mouse)
Lineage: Eukaryota; Metazoa; Chordata; Mammalia; Rodentia; Muridae
Product: predicted gene, 41759
Exons: 3
Source: RefSeq, a predicted model, not a curated record